AAAGAGGCCAGGUGGAACCGAAAGGGCGGAGCUUAAAAAAGGUGGCAGCAAAAUGUGCCAAAUUGACAGAUAUGUUCUCAAGACCAGCUGAGAGGAUGGAGAGUGUGGCAAAUGCUGAAGUGCAAUUCAGGAAGAAAUCAGAUUCCACUGAACACCAGCUGAAUUCUGAGAGUUCACACACUGAACCCAACCUCAGUCUCCAGAUGAUAUUUUUAGUUUAAAAAAACAAACAAAUAAAUAAUAAAAUGA
Molecule: long non-coding RNA, 249 nt
Organism: Neoarius graeffei (lesser salmon catfish)
Lineage: Eukaryota; Metazoa; Chordata; Actinopteri; Siluriformes; Ariidae
Exons: 3
Source: RefSeq, a predicted model, not a curated record